CAACCCUCAAGCCCCCGGGCUUGGUGCUGGGGAUCGGCCGUCACGGGCCGGCCCCGAAAUAGAUUGGCGGUCCCGCCGUCGCCUCCUCUGCGUAGUAGCAACACCUCGCACUGGGACGCGGCGCGGCCAUGCCGUAAAACCCCAACUUCUGAAA
Molecule: unclassified non-coding RNA, 154 nt
Filed under: uncultured Sordariomycetes
Lineage: Eukaryota; Fungi; Ascomycota; Sordariomycetes
Description: sequence contains ITS2
Source: RNAcentral